GAUCCGGUGCUUGCACCGGGGAUUAGUGGCGAACGGGUGAGUAACACGUGAGUAACCUGCCCUUGACUCUGGGAUAAGCCUGGGAAACCGGGUCUAAUACCGGAUACGACCUUUCACCGCAUGGUGGUUGGUGGAAAGAUUUUUUGGUUUUGGAUGGACUCGCGGCCUAUCAGCUUGUUGGUGAGGUAAUGGCUCACCAAGGCGACGACGGGUAGCCGGCCUGAGAGGGUGACCGGCCACACUGGGACUGAGACACGGCCCAGACUCCUACGGGAGGCAGCAGUGGGGAAUAUUGCACAAUGGGCGAAAGCCUGAUGCAGCGACGCCGCGUGAGGGAUGACGGCCUUCGGGUUGUAAACCUCUUUCAGCAGGGAAGAAGCGAAAGUGACGGUACCUGCAGAAGAAGCGCCGGCUAACUACGUGCCAGCAGCCGCGGUAAUACGUAGGGCGCAAGCGUUGUCCGGAAUUAUUGGGCGUAAAGAGCUCGUAGGCGGUUUGUCGCGUCUGCUGUGAAAGCCCGGGGCUCAACCCCGGGUCUGCAGUGGGUACGGGCAGACUAGAGUGCAGUAGGGGAGACUGGAAUUCCUGGUGUAGCGGUGAAAUGCGCAGAUAUCAGGAGGAACACCGAUGGCGAAGGCAGGUCUCUGGGCUGUAACUGACGCUGAGGAGCGAAAGCAUGGGGAGCGAACAGGAUUAGAUACCCUGGUAGUCCAUGCCCUAAACGUUGGGCACUAGGUGUGGGGGACAUUCCACGU
RNAcentral lists this ribosomal RNA (755 nucleotides) under bacterium. Its description in RNAcentral is "bacterial SSU rRNA". It matches the Rfam family "Bacterial small subunit ribosomal RNA", at positions 70 to 837 of the family's 1533-position model. The record is from RNAcentral.